RNAcentral lists this long non-coding RNA (824 nucleotides) under Vitis vinifera (wine grape). Its description in RNAcentral is "long non-coding RNA (VVIN_LNC001322)". The record is from RNAcentral. Lineage: Eukaryota; Viridiplantae; Streptophyta; Magnoliopsida; Vitales; Vitaceae.
UGUAGAGGAAGAAGAGCUGAGAUUCAAAAAAACAGAGACAUCUUCUCUCUCUCUUCUUUCUCUCUUCUUCUUUUUAAUUUGUUUUGAUUUUUUUGAUUUUAUUUUAGUUUUAUUUGGGUUGGGAAUUAUGGGGACGGAGAUCUUGAGGCCUCAGGACUGUUUGAUCGAGCGGAUGGGGGUCUCUCCGGCGGUUUUUCCUCGCCGUAAGGCUUUCCCCGGAAGCGCAAAGGCGAACCGGAGACCGGUGGUUCGGGCUGAGAGGUCGGACCAGAAGAGGCGGGGGAGUCAGUCGGAGGGGUCCAUUUCUAAGAGAUCGAGCUCCGAUGAUGUCAGGGCCGCGAAGGGGAAUGUUGUGGUGGGCCCGGUGACGAUUCUCAGGCGAGGGGAGUCGCUUGACUCGAAAUUAAAGAGCGAGGCUCUGAAGAAGAACGGCGAGGAGGAAAUGAUAGUUUCUGGAACCGAGAGGUUGGGCCCGGACCCGGAGAUGGUGCCGAAGCAGAUCCGCAUCAAGGAUCUGAAGCCGUUUGCUUUUUCGGUGGCCGCUAAGCCCGACAUGUACGCUGGAUCUGCGUUUGCGCUCUCGCCGUCGCCGAGCUCGCUUCCGUUACCAUCUUUUUCGAGGAAGAAGCAGAUGUCGCCCGUCGUGGACGACUGGGCAACGAAAGAUCUCCGGCGACUGCUCCGGCUCGAUUGACAAAUUAAGUGGUCAAACUAUUACAGAUCCAGAUCUCUAUGCCCGGAUUUGGACCUAGAACUAUCGGGAUCUGAAUUAACCUCGUUUCGUCUCACCGCCGCGUCUUUCACGAAUCAAAGAUCCAUUUUUC